This 468-nucleotide ribosomal RNA is filed under the name uncultured bacterium. Its description in RNAcentral is "partial 16S ribosomal RNA". It matches the Rfam family "Bacterial small subunit ribosomal RNA", at positions 28 to 507 of the family's 1533-position model. The record is from RNAcentral.
GACGAACGCUGGCGGCGUGCUUAACACAUGCAAGUCGAACGGAAAGGCCCUGCUUUUGUGGGGUGCUCGAGUGGCGAACGGGUGAGUAACACGUGAGUAACCUGCCCUUGACUUUGGGAUAACUUCAGGAAACUGGGGCUAAUACCGGAUAGGAGCUCCUGCUGCAUGGUGGGGGUUGGAAAGUUUCGGCGGUUGGGGAUGGACUCGCGGCUUAUCAGCUUGUUGGUGGGGUAGUGGCUUACCAAGGCUUUGACGGGUAGCCGGCCUGAGAGGGUGACCGGCCACAUUGGGACUGAGAUACGGCCCAGACUCCUACGGGAGGCAGCAGUGGGGAAUAUUGCAUAAUGGGCGGAAGCCUGAUGCAGCAACGCCGCGUGCGGGAUGACGGCCUUCGGGUUGUAAACCGCUUUCGCCUGUGACGAAGCGUGAGUGACGGCAAUGGGUAAAGAAGCACCGGCUAACUACGUG